Molecule: ribosomal RNA, 497 nt
Filed under: uncultured bacterium
Lineage: Bacteria
Description: partial 16S ribosomal RNA
Rfam family: Bacterial small subunit ribosomal RNA
Source: RNAcentral
GAUGAACGCUGGCGGCGUGCCUAAUACAUUCAAGUCGAGCGAACGGACGAGAAGCUUGCUUCUCUGAUGUUAGCGGCGGACGGGUGAGUAACACGUGGAUAACCUACCUAUAAGACUGGGAUAACUUCGGGAAACCGUAGCUAAUACCGGAUAAUAUUUUGAACCGCAUGGUUCAAAAGUGAAAGACGGUCUUGCUGUCACUUAUAGAUGGAUCCGCGCUGCAUUAGCUAGUUGGUAAGGUAACGGCUUACCAAGGCAACGAUGCAUAGCCGACCUGAGAGGGUGAUCGGCCACACUGGAACUGAGACACGGUCCAGACUCCUACGGGAGGCAGCAGUAGGGAAUCUUCCGCAAUGGGCGAAAGCCUGACGGAGCAACGCCGCGUGAGUGAUGAAGGUCUUCGGAUCGUAAAACUCUGUUAUUAGGGAAGAACAUAUGUGUAAGUAACUGUGCACAUCUUGACGGUACCUAAUCAGAAAGCCACGGCUAACUACGUG